Molecule: long non-coding RNA, 254 nt
Filed under: Lathyrus oleraceus (garden pea)
Lineage: Eukaryota; Viridiplantae; Streptophyta; Magnoliopsida; Fabales; Fabaceae
Description: Pisum sativum (pea) long non-coding RNA (PSAT_LNC040488)
Source: RNAcentral
UUACAGGUUCAUGAUAGGUGACCUUAACUUUUCUAUUGAUGCAUCUGUAUCCAUUUUGUAACAUUCUAUUAAGACUAUCUAACCAUGAUUUGACAUGGCUUCUUUGGUUCAUUUUGAAUUGCACCUUACUUGGAGCAUAGAAUGAAAAUGAUGUGCUGCAUUUUCUGAUCUUUUCUGAUCUAAUGGUCCUUAAAGCAAGUCAAUGUUGUUUUCUUCAUUAAACAUAGGUUGUGCUUGUUCUCAACCUGAUUUAU